Molecule: ribosomal RNA, 253 nt
Filed under: uncultured bacterium
Lineage: Bacteria
Description: partial 16S ribosomal RNA
Rfam family: Bacterial small subunit ribosomal RNA
Source: RNAcentral
UACAGAGGUCUCAAGCGUUGUUCGGAUUCAUUGGGCGUAAAGGGUGUGUAGGUGGCGCGCUAAGUCGGGUGUGAAAUUUCGGAGCUUAACUCCGAAACUGCAUUCGAUACUGGCGUGCUUGAGGACUGGAGAGGAGACUGGAAUUCAUGGUGUAGCAGUGAAAUGCGUAGAGAUCAUGAGGAAGACCAGUGGCGAAGGCGGGUCUCUGGACAGUUCCUGACACUGAGACGCGAAAGCCAGGGGAGCGAACGGG